RNAcentral lists this ribosomal RNA (513 nucleotides) under uncultured bacterium. Its description in RNAcentral is "partial 16S ribosomal RNA". It matches the Rfam family "Bacterial small subunit ribosomal RNA", at positions 28 to 507 of the family's 1533-position model. The record is from RNAcentral.
GACGAACGCUGGCGGCGUGCUUAACACAUGCAAGUCGAACGAAAAGAGGGAAAGAGCUUGCUCUUUCCGGAAUUGAGUGGCAAACGGGUGAGUAACACGUAAACAACCUGCCUUCAGGAUGGGGACAACAGACGGAAACGACUGCUAAUACCGAAUAAGUUCCAAGAGCCGCAUGGCCCAUGGAAGAAAAGGUGGCCUCUACCUGUAAGCUAUCGCCUGAAGAGGGGUUUGCGUCUGAUUAGCUGGUUGGAGGGGUAACGGCCCACCAAGGCGACGAUCAGUAGCCGGUCUGAGAGGAUGAACGGCCACACUGGAACUGAGACACGGUCCAGACUCCUACGGGAGGCAGCAGUGGGGAAGCUUCCGCAAUGGGCGAAAGCCUGACGGAGCAACGCCGCGUGAGUGAUGACGGCCUUCGGGUUGUAAAACUCUGUGAUCCGGGACGAAAAGGCAGAGUGCGAAGAACAAACUGCAUUGACGGUACCGGAAAAGCAAGCCACGGCUAACUACGUG